RNAcentral lists this ribosomal RNA (500 nucleotides) under uncultured bacterium. Its description in RNAcentral is "partial 16S ribosomal RNA". It matches the Rfam family "Bacterial small subunit ribosomal RNA", at positions 30 to 523 of the family's 1533-position model. The record is from RNAcentral.
AUUGAACGCUGGCGGCAGGCCUAACACAUGCGAGUCGAGCGGAUGAGUGGAGCUUGCUCCAUGAUUCAGCGGCGGACGGGUGAGUAAUGCCUAGGAAUCUGCCUAUUAGUGGGGGACAACGUUUCGAAAGGAACGCUAAUACCGCAUACGUCCUACGGGAGAAAGCAGGGGACCUUCGGGCCUUGCGCUAAUAGAUGAGCCUAGGUCGGAUUAGCUAGUUGGUGAGGUAAUGGCUCACCAAGGCGACGAUCCGUAACUGGUCUGAGAGGAUGAUCAGUCACACUGGAACUGAGACACGGUCCAGACUCCUACGGGAGGCAGCAGUGGGGAAUAUUGGACAAUGGGCGAAAGCCUGAUCCAGCCAUGCCGCGUGUGUGAAGAAGGUCUUCGGAUUGUAAAGCACUUUAAGUUGGGAGGAAGGGUUGUACGUUAAUACCGUGCAAUUUUGACGUUACCGACAGAAUAAGCACCGGCUAACUCUGUGCCAGCCGCCGCAGUAA